CUUGCCUGGCCUUCUUCAAACUCAGUUUGUGCCCAGGGUUAAUGUGACCAAAAGUCAGGGGUGAAGGUUGGAAGACCAGAGAACCAGAUGGACUUCUCCCGGGCACAGAUGAGCUCUGAAGAGUCCAGAGUGACCCCCAGCAAAGCAGGAACGGGCCGGCAUAACUGGAGUUUGUGAUCUCACAGUUAUCAACAGGCUUGACAACUGAGGAAAAGCGCCCCCUCCACUCUCCUCCACCCAACUCAGCAGAGGCUUUGAAAGGCACUCGGAGCUGGACUUUCCAGACCCUGAUGGCGAAGUGGGACUGUCCGGGAGCCAGCUGCACUUUUUGUGUCUAGAAUAAAAAUGAAGAGCCUGAUGUGGCAGCCGGACAGCCUCUCACCGGAA
Long non-coding RNA from Marmota flaviventris (yellow-bellied marmot), 387 nucleotides. RefSeq lists it as uncharacterized. The record is from RefSeq and is a predicted model, not a curated record. Lineage: Eukaryota; Metazoa; Chordata; Mammalia; Rodentia; Sciuridae.